AAAGCAUGCUUCCAAAGUUGGUUGUGAAGGGCAUACCAACUGUUGAGCGUGCUGUCAUUAACAAUGAUAAAGGAAGACACCACCUGUUGGUUGAAGGGACAAAUCUUUUAGCAGUUAUGGGUAUUCCAGGAGUUUGUUCAAAGGAAACAAAGAGUAAUCAUGUCA
Molecule: long non-coding RNA, 165 nt
Organism: Dioscorea cayenensis subsp. rotundata (Guinea yam)
Lineage: Eukaryota; Viridiplantae; Streptophyta; Magnoliopsida; Dioscoreales; Dioscoreaceae
Exons: 3
Source: RefSeq, a predicted model, not a curated record